CACGAAGGACCCGCGCGUUGCUCGGAAUCACUGGGCGUAAAGGGAGCGUAGGCUGCGCGGUAAGUCAGGUGUGAAAUCCCGGGGCUCAACCCCGGAACUGCACCCGAUACUGCCGUGCUUGAGGGUUGGAGAGGUAGCUGGAAUUCUCGGUGUAGCAGUGAAAUGCGUGGAUAUCGAGAGGAACACUCGUGGCGAAGGCGAGCUACUGGACAACAUCUGACGCUGAGGCUCGAAGGCCAGGGGAGCAAAAGGG
Molecule: ribosomal RNA, 253 nt
Filed under: uncultured bacterium
Lineage: Bacteria
Description: partial 16S ribosomal RNA
Rfam family: Bacterial small subunit ribosomal RNA
Source: RNAcentral